Molecule: transfer RNA, 74 nt
Filed under: Sphingobium sp. C100
Lineage: Bacteria; Pseudomonadati; Pseudomonadota; Alphaproteobacteria; Sphingomonadales; Sphingobiaceae
Rfam family: tRNA
About the family: Transfer RNA (tRNA) molecules are approximately 80 nucleotides in length. Their secondary structure includes four short double-helical elements and three loops (D, anti-codon, and T loops).
Source: Rfam by way of RNAcentral
GCGGGUGUAGCUCAGUUGGUUAGAGUGCCGGCCUGUCACGCCGGAGGGCGCGGGUUCGAGCCCUGUCACUCGCG